AUUGAACGCUGGCGGCAGGCCUAACACAUGCAAGUCGAGCGAGCGGCGGACGGGUGAGUAAUGUCUGGGAAACUGGCUGAUGGAGGGGGAUAACGACUGGAAACGGUAGCUCAUACCGCAUACAGUCAGAUGUGCCCAGAUGGGAUUAGCUGGUAGGUGGGGGAACGGCUCACCUAGGCGACGAUCCCUAGCUGGUCUGGGAGGAUGACCAGCCACACUGGAACUGAGACACGGUCCAGACUCCUACGGGAGGCAGCAGUGGGGAAUAUUGCACAAUGGGCGAAAGCCUGAUGCAGCCAUGCCGCGUGUAUGAAGAAGGCCUUCGGGUUGUAAAGUACUUUAAGCGGGGAGGCGUUACCCGCAGAAGAAGCACCGGCUAACUCCGUGCCAGCAGCCGCGGUAAUUC
This 406-nucleotide ribosomal RNA is filed under the name uncultured bacterium. Its description in RNAcentral is "partial 16S ribosomal RNA". It matches the Rfam family "Bacterial small subunit ribosomal RNA", at positions 29 to 526 of the family's 1533-position model. The record is from RNAcentral.